CUUGGAUUAGAGAUGAUUCACAAUAAAAACAUUAGUGAUUUUUGCACUUUGGAAUGUCUCUAUAUCCCUGAUAUAUACCAAUAUAAAGAUUCCUGCCUCUGCAGACUUUACUUUUUAAGCACUUUCCUAAAUGCCUCUUUCACAUCCUUAUUCCUCAGGCUGUAAAUGAAUGGGUUCAUCAUGGAUGUUAUGACUGAGUAGAACACUGAGACCACCUUAUUCCCCUUAUCCAUUUUCUUUGUAUUUGGCUGCAUGUAGGUAAAUAUUGUUGACCCAUAGAAAAAGAUAACAACAAUGAAGUGAGAGCCACAGGUAGAAAAGACCUUUAGUCUUCCAUUCCCUGACCGUAUCUGAAUCACAGUACAGAUGAUAUUCCAGUAGGAGAAAAGGAUCAGAGAGACAGGACCCAAGAGGAUGACCACACCCAUUACAAAAAUGGCCAUCUCAGCAUUGUAGGUUUCUUCUGAGGCCACUUUCAAGAGCGCAGGAGGCUCACAAAAAUAGUGGUUAAUUACUUUUGAUCCCUGAUAUGGGAGGCAUAAAGUGAAGGUGGUGUCUACUAAAGACACAAAUACACCACUAGCCCAGGACCCUAUGGCUAACAAAACACAAACUCUCUGGGUCAUGAUGGUAGAGUAGUGCAGGGGCUUGCAGACAGCCACAUAGCGGUCAUAGGACAUCGUCGCUAGAAGUGAACUCUCUGUACACCCCAUUAUUAGGAAGAAAAACAUCUGAACUGAACAUCCAGCAAAUGAAAUGGUCUUUCUCAUGACCAGAAAAUGUAAUAGCAUCGUGGGAACAAUAGUUGUAGAGAAACAGAGUGGACUCUCUAUUGUCUUUCCGAGUAAGAAAGGGAAAUGGCAGCUACUUAAAUUGUAUCAUAACCCACCAUCCUGUCCUUUCCUAAAUUCUUCAUUGGAUCAGAGAAAUGGUCCUUGACUGUGAUGGCAAUGCUCCAAGACAAGGUACAAAGGGACCUAAUUAUUGUGGAUCCAAAACAACGAAAUGGCAUCUGGACAUAGGCAGCACCACAAACUAUGGGAACCCUUCAUGGAGACAAAAUGCAGCCACGACUAUCUGCAUAGCUGCAAUGUUUUACCUGGCAUGACAAUGUUUGAUCUCAUUUAUGUUGCAGUCUAACUCAGAACUUUCAAUCAGUUAGAUGGAUGCACUGGUAGAGAUUAUGUACUGGUCUGAUGCAGGAAACACUAUUAAAAAUCCAUACUGUACUCUGCUGUACUUAUGGAACAAAACCAAAAUGUCACCCUAAAGGCUAAGUAGAUCAAGAAGAGUUAGGGAGAGUGGUACAUAGCUGGGACUCACAGCUGGAAUGUGAUAUGGCUGGAAAGGAUUGAAGCAGUAGUCUUAGAAUUGUCCGUUAGCACAAGGGCAAUGUCAUAGCAGAAAUCAGCUUCCUGAAAGGACCAUCUUGAGAUAUGUAUAAGUAAAAGACAGCAAGCAUGCAAUGGUUUGUUUUUGUAUAAGAACCUAGUCUAAUGGCAGUAUAAGGGAAAUGUGAACAGACCUGUUGUGGCUGGACCACUGGUUCAUGAGC
Long non-coding RNA from Fukomys damarensis (Damara mole-rat), 1555 nucleotides. Lineage: Eukaryota; Metazoa; Chordata; Mammalia; Rodentia; Bathyergidae. The record is from Ensembl.